This 255-nucleotide unclassified non-coding RNA is filed under the name Hevea brasiliensis (rubber tree). Lineage: Eukaryota; Viridiplantae; Streptophyta; Magnoliopsida; Malpighiales; Euphorbiaceae. The record is from RNAcentral.
AAAUCACACUAUUAAAUAAUAUAAUUAGACCAUAUUUUAAAAACUUUUGCCAUGGAAUUAAAUAUGUGAAGGUGGUUAUAAUAUCUAUGUGUUAACAUGAAUUGAUGACUAAUUACUAUAUGGGUUAAUAUAUGACUCUUUAGAUUUAUGCCUCAGUAUGAAGUGAAUUGUAAGUGUAUUUAAAAUUUUUAAUUAUCUUGGAAGAUUCUGAAAGGAGUUAUGGAUAAUUACUAAAAUAAAUAAAUAAAUAAGAAA